Molecule: long non-coding RNA, 650 nt
Organism: Saccostrea cuccullata (small rock oyster)
Lineage: Eukaryota; Metazoa; Mollusca; Bivalvia; Ostreida; Ostreidae
Exons: 4
Source: RefSeq, a predicted model, not a curated record
UACAAUGCGGAAUGCAGUCUGGUCAUCAACAGAGAGUUUUGACACCCGUAUACCGGUACCUGUAUUUCAACUAAUUAGCUCUUCAACCUUUGUUGCUUUCAUCAGACAGAUGCACCAGAUGCAGUGGCACUGUCUCCAUCACUGGUGAAAUGGGAUAUGACUAGUGGACAGUCAUCACUUUGUAACUCACCAACACAAUUAGCAGCCCAUCUCUUCUUGUCUCCAAUGGUGGUCUCCGGAGGAAUGGUUGCAGUGCAGUUAUCAUGUCUUGGGCAGGUCUGCUGCAUGUUUGCCAUGAUGCUGUUUUAACAUUAGCAUCAAUAAGCCAUGCCUACCCUCUACUUGUGGUACCCAAGUGACCAGCAGCCAUGGUCAUAUUCAGCUGUGCAGCUCUUCAUCCCCUGCCAGAUCUUCCCACCUCUUUGUAUAGCUUUUUUCGGUGAAUGGUAUUUGGCACUUCUUACAUCUGAUGGAAAAGAUCCAAAUUGCCAUGUUUUUCUCCUGAUGCUGAUUCCAGUCCAGUAAAUGGUCAUUACAGUUUGGAAACUUUUCUUUCAUGCAUUAUAAUAACUUCCGGAGUUCCAUCGUAUGCCAAUCUUUGAGAAGAGGAGCCAUUUUUCCAUGUUUAAUGACUUUCACACUUGGAUUGA